ACGGGUAUGAUGGAAUUGGUAGACAUGUCAGGUUUAGGUUCUGAUGAGUUUUUCGUGGGGGUUCAAGUCCCUUUGCCCGUA
RNAcentral lists this transfer RNA (81 nucleotides) under Palpitomonas bilix. RNAcentral describes it as "tRNA-Leu". It matches the Rfam family "tRNA". From Rfam's summary of the family: Transfer RNA (tRNA) molecules are approximately 80 nucleotides in length. Their secondary structure includes four short double-helical elements and three loops (D, anti-codon, and T loops). Further hydrogen bonds mediate the characteristic L-shaped molecular structure. tRNAs have two regions of fundamental functional importance: the anti-codon, which is responsible for specific mRNA codon recognition, and the 3' end, to which the tRNAs corresponding amino acid is attached (by aminoacyl-tRNA synthetases). tRNAs cope with the degeneracy of the genetic code in two manners: having more than one tRNA (with a specific anti-codon) for a particular amino acid; and 'wobble' base-pairing, i.e. permitting non-standard base-pairing at the 3rd anti-codon position. The record is from RNAcentral.